UACGGGGGGGGCAAGCGUUGUUCGGAAUUACUGGGCGUAAAGGGCUCGUAGGCGGCCAACUAAGUCAGACGUGAAAUCCCCAGGCUCAACCUGGGAACUGCGUCUGAUACUGGAUGGCUUGAAUUCGGGAGAGGGAUGCAGAAUUCCAGGUGUAGCGGUGAAAUGCGUAGAUAUCUGGAGGAACACCGGUGGCGAAGGCGACAUCCUGGACCGGUAUUGACGCUGAGGCGCGAAAGCCGGGGGAGCAAACGGG
Molecule: ribosomal RNA, 253 nt
Filed under: uncultured bacterium
Lineage: Bacteria
Description: partial 16S ribosomal RNA
Rfam family: Bacterial small subunit ribosomal RNA
Source: RNAcentral